This 378-nucleotide ribosomal RNA is filed under the name uncultured eukaryote. RNAcentral describes it as "partial 18S ribosomal RNA". It matches the Rfam family "Eukaryotic small subunit ribosomal RNA", at positions 592 to 976 of the family's 1831-position model. The record is from RNAcentral.
CAAUAGCGUAUAUUUAAGUUGUUGCAGUUAAAAAGCUCGUAGUUGGAUUUCGGGUGGGACGCAGCGGUCUCGCAUUGCGUUUGUACUGCUGCAGCCCUCCUUCUUGCCGGGGGCGGCCUCUCGGACUUCACUGUCUGGGGGUCAGAAUCGGCGAUGUUACUUUGAGUAAAUUAGAGUGUUCAAAGCAAGCUUACGCUCUGAAUAUAAUAGCAUGGGAUAACACGACAGGACUCUGGCCUAUCGUGUUGGUCUAUAGGACCAGAGUAAUGAUUAAGAGGGACAGUCGGGGGCAUUCGUAGUCCGUUGUCAGAGGUGAAAUUCUUGGAUUUACGGAAGACGAACAUCUGCGAAAGCAUUUGCCAAGGAUGUUUUCAUUGA